UAGCAAUGAACAGGCUUAGA
This 20-nucleotide unclassified non-coding RNA is filed under the name Mus musculus (house mouse). Its description in RNAcentral is "oocyte_clustered_small_RNA4977". The record is from RNAcentral. Lineage: Eukaryota; Metazoa; Chordata; Mammalia; Rodentia; Muridae.